UACGGCCAUAUCCCGUUGAAACAUUGGUUCCUGUACGAUCACCAGAGUUAAGAAACUCGGGCCUGGUCAGUACCUAGAUGGGUGACCUCUUGAGAAUAUCAGGUGUUGAAAG
Molecule: non-coding RNA, 112 nt
Organism: Acanthosepion pharaonis
Lineage: Eukaryota; Metazoa; Mollusca; Cephalopoda; Sepiida; Sepiidae
Source: the annotation of a GenBank genome assembly